AGCGUAUAUUAAAGUUGUUGCAGUUAAAAAGCUCGUAGUUGAAUUUCGGGAUCAAUUAGUCGGUCGUGCCUCUGGUACGUACUGGUUUUAUUGGUUCCUCCCUUCUGACGAAACAUGAUGUCAUUAAUUUGGUGUCGUGGAGAAUCAGGACUGUUACCUUGAAAAAAUUAGAGUGUUUAUAGCAGGCUAACGCUUGAAUACAUUANCAUGGAAUAAUGAAAUAGGACGUUCGACCCUAUUUUGUUGGUUUCUAGGAUCGACGUAAUGAUUAAUAGGGAUAGUUGGGGGCAUUAGUAUUCAAUUGUCAGAGGUGAAAUUCUUGGAUUUAUUGAAGACUAACUACUGCGAAAGCAUUUGCCAAGGAUGUUUUCAUUAAUCAAGAACGAAAGUUAGGGGAUCGAAGACGAUCANAUACCGUCGUAGUCUUAACCAUAAAC
RNAcentral lists this ribosomal RNA (437 nucleotides) under uncultured Glomeromycotina. RNAcentral's name for it is "SSU rRNA". It matches the Rfam family "Eukaryotic small subunit ribosomal RNA", at positions 596 to 1037 of the family's 1831-position model. The record is from RNAcentral. Lineage: Eukaryota; Fungi; Glomeromycota.